Molecule: ribosomal RNA, 399 nt
Filed under: Papilio fuscus umbrosus
Lineage: Eukaryota; Metazoa; Arthropoda; Insecta; Lepidoptera; Papilionidae
Description: partial 16S ribosomal RNA
Source: RNAcentral
GGGCUGCAGUAUUUUGACUGUACAAAGGUAGCAUAAUCAAUAGUCUCUUAAUUGGUGACUUGUAUGAAAGAUUGGAUGAGAUAUAUACUGUCUCUAAUUAAUUUAUUGAAAUUAAUUUUUUAGUAAAAAAGCUAAAAUAAUUUUAAAAGACGAGAAGACCCUAUAGAGUUUAAUAAUUUAUUUAAUUAUUAUUAAUAUAUAAUUUUUAAAAUUAAAAUUAAAUAAAUUAUUUUGUUGGGGUGAUAAAAAAAUUAAAUUAACUUUUUUUUGUUAUUAACAUUAAUUUAUGAGUAAAUGAUCCAUUUAUAGUGAUUAAAAGAAAAAAUUACCUUAGGGAUAACAGCGUAAUUUUUUUUUUUAGUUCAAAUAGGAAAAAAAGUUUGCGACCUCGAUGUUGGA